GGGGGCGUAGCUCAGUUUGGUUAGAGCGCCGGCCUGUCACGCCGGAGGCCGCGAGUUCGAGCCUCGUCGUCCCCGCCA
RNAcentral lists this transfer RNA (78 nucleotides) under Pseudomonadota bacterium. RNAcentral's name for it is "tRNA-Asp". It matches the Rfam family "tRNA". Rfam says of the family: Transfer RNA (tRNA) molecules are approximately 80 nucleotides in length. Their secondary structure includes four short double-helical elements and three loops (D, anti-codon, and T loops). Further hydrogen bonds mediate the characteristic L-shaped molecular structure. tRNAs have two regions of fundamental functional importance: the anti-codon, which is responsible for specific mRNA codon recognition, and the 3' end, to which the tRNAs corresponding amino acid is attached (by aminoacyl-tRNA synthetases). tRNAs cope with the degeneracy of the genetic code in two manners: having more than one tRNA (with a specific anti-codon) for a particular amino acid; and 'wobble' base-pairing, i.e. permitting non-standard base-pairing at the 3rd anti-codon position. The record is from RNAcentral. RNAcentral also lists the same sequence under 3 other names. Lineage: Bacteria; Pseudomonadati; Pseudomonadota.